UACGGGGGGGGGCAAGCGUUGUUCGGAAUUACUGGGCGUAAAGGGCUCGUAGGUGGCCAACUAAGUCAGACGUGAAAUCCCUCGGCUUAACCGGGGAACUGCGUCUGAUACUGGAUGGCUAGAGAUUGGGGAGAGGGAUGCGGAAUUCCAGGUGUAGCGGUGAAAUGCGUAGAUAUCUGGAGGAACACCGGUGGCGAAGGCGGUUCUCUGGGCCUUACCUGACGCUGAGGAGCGAAAGCGUGGGGAGCGAACAGG
Molecule: ribosomal RNA, 255 nt
Filed under: uncultured bacterium
Lineage: Bacteria
Description: partial 16S ribosomal RNA
Rfam family: Bacterial small subunit ribosomal RNA
Source: RNAcentral